This 437-nucleotide long non-coding RNA is filed under the name Lathyrus oleraceus (garden pea). Its description in RNAcentral is "Pisum sativum (pea) long non-coding RNA (PSAT_LNC013412)". The record is from RNAcentral. Lineage: Eukaryota; Viridiplantae; Streptophyta; Magnoliopsida; Fabales; Fabaceae.
AUUACAUAAUAAAGAUGGCGAAAAGUAAAACUGAAAAUAUUACAAGUUAAAACUUAAAAUAUUACAAGGGCGAAGCAGUUACAGUGUAUGAAUAACAUAAAUAAGAGUGAAAAUAGGAAAUAAUAAUAAGGUCUGUUAAGGUUUAAGAAAAGGUUUAUGGUUUAAAGGAAAUAACACGGUUAAAGUUUUAGGUUUGAAAUUUAGAGUUUUGUGGCGAAAUUGUCAGAGUUUAGGAAAAAUCAGGGUAGUUAGUUAUGAAAGAAAUGUGCAGAUCUAAAUAUAUGUAUAUAAAAAAAAAUAUGAAUUAAAAAAAAAACAACGGCUUUGCUAGCGCAAAAUUGCGAUCAUCGCAACUGGAUCAGAUAACACAAAUGUCACGCCUCAUACACGUAUAUGUGAAAACGGCGUAUUGACACGAUCCGAUCCGAAAACAUAAU